GUAUGCUAGAUCAUAGUAGCCUGCUGAAUCCAAGAACUCAAAACUAACAGUAUGAACAAGAUCUGGACAUGCAGUAUGCAAAUUGAAUUCAACACAGAUUUUAUGGCCACAUUUGCGCCAUUACCCAAUUAACCUUUAUUGAACUGGAUGUUAAAACAACACAGACAGCAUAUGCAAAUAAACAGUGUUGCCAGUGGCACAGUUCAUUCUCUUUGAAUUGCCCUAUGAUGCUGUUUAAACCCUACCUUAAUCAUUCUUACUGCCCAACAUUAUAUUUCUAAAAAAUCAAUAGCCCUGAUUUCUCCGUUUAAAAUUGAGCCGAAAUGGAAAUUAAUGCUCUCAUGUGAUGCUUAGCUUUUGUCGUCAACAGGUUGUGGCGGCUUUGCAUAAUAAAUUGCAGGGCUUAGCAGACAUGGCCAAUUGAUUAGCAAAUUAAGAAGUGUUCGGUUAUGUGUGCACAGACAAAGGCGGGUUUGGUGCCUGGCAAUAGCUGUCGAAGAUUUUGACUGAUUGUUAUUAUUAGUGAAUUUCAGUCACGCAGCACGAUUUAUCAGCACCGCUGUAGCAUCCAGCUGACAGGACCUCUUCCUCUCCAGAAACACAACAUUAGCGGUGGAUCUGCACCUCCGUCUGACUCACCCUGUCUCUCCCUCCUGCAGGGCCUCACGUGAGGCGAACAGACUGAAUGAACGCUGCUGCCAGAAUACUUCUGCUCUAUUCUCAUAUCCAUGCCAUAAUGUUUGCCGUCUGAAAGAAAGAGCCCAGGUGCAGUGACAUUCUGCUGGUUUACCAUGAGCAUCAGAAUUGCCCAAUCAAGGCAGUGCUCCAGCUGACAGACCUGGUGAGGAAAUUACUAACACUUGAGCAACAGAUGGCUUUGGCCUCCACACAGUCUGAGUGGCCAUCAUGGAUGCUCCAUUUGGGAGGGUUUUGGAGGAAUUCGCUCUGUGCCGCCAGCGCUGGCUUUCUAAUACAGACUGUGGUUACAGUUUCAUCAGCGAGGGUACACAGGUGCCCAGAUGGGAACAUGCAGAGAGCAGUAAAUCAUGGACCUGUUGUGAGUGAAGAAAAGAGAGGCAACUCUUAGUAUCCAAUGAAAAGAGGUUGUUUUUGACGAGUGUGAAAGGAAAACCAGUCUUUUCAGAGUAGAGUUAUAAAAUGGAAAGGAGGGAUAGAGGCUUGCACUACAUCAGUUAAUGGACUGUGUGUAGUGAGUCAUAAGCUUCAGAAGAAAAUUGACAUGAAAAUACCAAUAACUAGGUGUACUCAGUCAGGUCCUCUGGUGAUCUGCAUAUACUGUAGACUGUCAACAGACAAACACAGUAAAUUGUCCCUUUGCUUAUGAACCUACAGUAAAUAUGUAUAAUGUGUCAAGUAUGUCUACUUAAGAUCUCAAACAGAAUGUGGGUAGAUUUUAGGUAUAUUAAAUGUCAUUAUUUCUCUAACCUUAUGCUCUGUACCCGUGGUCUGUUUAUGUGCAAGAGAAACCUGUCACAUCUUUCACUGCAGUGAAUGUAUAUAUCUCAUGGUAGGUUUAUUUUUGAAAGUCAAUUUCUGUAUCGGCACAUAUCUAAACGUCCAGACUGAAAAAAAUGCUACUGAAUAUUUCCAGUGUUAUUGCCCAAGAGAAAAUAAAACAGUGACCUACUGUGACCCAAUAGCAGGCCGUGUUGUCACAAUGAAACCUGUUUAUUAAAUAGUUUAUUAUUCAGCAAAAUUUAUACAAUAAACAGUUUGGAUAAAAUUUUAUCUAGGUUUUAGAAACCAAUUUUACAAACCACUGCUAGAAAAACACAGUUCUAAUUGGACAGUAAACUUUGGAUAACAAAUAGAAGCAUGAUUCUGGUU
Molecule: long non-coding RNA, 1848 nt
Organism: Cyprinus carpio carpio
Lineage: Eukaryota; Metazoa; Chordata; Actinopteri; Cypriniformes; Cyprinidae
Source: Ensembl